RNAcentral lists this ribosomal RNA (400 nucleotides) under uncultured bacterium. RNAcentral describes it as "bacterial SSU rRNA". It matches the Rfam family "Bacterial small subunit ribosomal RNA", at positions 355 to 770 of the family's 1533-position model. The record is from RNAcentral.
UGGGGAAUAUUGCGCAAUGGGGGAAACCCUGACGCAGCAACGCCGCGUGAAGGAUGAAGGUCUUCGGAUUGUAAACUUCUUUGAUCGGGGACGAAGAGAUGACGGUACCCGAGGAACAAGCCACGGCUAACUACGUGCCAGCAGCCGCGGUAAUACGUAGGUGGCAAGCGUUAUCCGGAAUUACUGGGUGUAAAGGGCGUGUAGGCGGGACGGCAAGUCAGAUGUGAAAUUCCGGGGCUCAACCCCGGCGCUGCAUCUGAAACUGCUGUUCUUGAGUGUCGGAGAGGAAAGCGGAAUUCCCAGUGUAGCGGUGAAAUGCGUAGAGAUUGGGAGGAACACCAGUGGCGAAGGCGGCUUUCUGGACGAUAACUGACGCUGAGGCGCGAAAGCGUGGGGAGCA